UACAGAGGGUGCGAGCGUUAAUCGGAAUUACUGGGCGUAAAGCGUGCGUAGGUGGUUUGUUAAGUCAGGUGUGAAAUCCCUGGGCUCAACCUGGGAACUGCAUUUGAUACUGGCUAACUAGAGUGUGGUAGAGGGUGGUGGAAUUCCCGGUGUAGCGGUGAAAUGCGUAGAUAUCGGGAGGAACAUCAGUGGCGAAGGCGGCCACCUGGACCAACACUGACACUGAGGCACGAAAGCGUGGGUAGCAAACAGG
Molecule: ribosomal RNA, 253 nt
Filed under: uncultured bacterium
Lineage: Bacteria
Description: partial 16S ribosomal RNA
Rfam family: Bacterial small subunit ribosomal RNA
Source: RNAcentral